RNAcentral lists this unclassified non-coding RNA (4521 nucleotides) under Dendronephthya gigantea. RNAcentral's name for it is "uncharacterized LOC114533635, transcript variant X1". Lineage: Eukaryota; Metazoa; Cnidaria; Anthozoa; Malacalcyonacea; Nephtheidae. The record is from RNAcentral.
CGCACUGGAUGAUAGCCUUUUUUAUGACGCAAUAUAUUUUCGCAAAUUUUUUAUAGUUUAUACGUUAGAACCUCAGAAGAUCCAACGUUAGAAGAAGAUUUAUUAAAGUAAUUUGCAGCAAAUAUGGCAAAGCAAUUUUUGAUACAAAUACUAACUGUCGCUACAAUCUUCCUUCUUAUUGGGAUGUGUGUUUCAUUUCCUCACUACAGAGACACAUCUACUCAAUUGGAAAACUGUGAUAAAAGUGUCCCUCACAUUGUUAUCAUAAAUUCAACUGAUGGAAGAAUAUUAAAUUGUCACAAAUGUACCUUUUGUCAACAGGGCUAUGGGUUGAGCACUCCAUGCAAUGGUCAGAAUGUGAGCCAGACAGAUUUAAAUGUUGAGUGCAGGCCUUGUGUUGCUGGUGUGAACUUUUCUACUGGUGAAAUGAUUCAAUGUCAACCCUGUCAGAAACCAUGCCCUAAUGGAAUGAAGAUUGAGGGAAAAUGUGAGGUGAUAGGGGACAAACGAACUUGUAGGAAGUGUGAAAUAUCAAAUUGGUACUAUAAUACAACACUGGAGACGUGCUUGCCUUGUGUUUGUAAGAACAUGACAGCAGAAGUAAAGCAUAUAUGCAUAAGAUUAGGCUUCAAGUUUGAUAUGCAAUGCAAGCAUAUUAAUUUUAGUGAUGACUCAACAAGAAACACAUCAACAAACACAUCAACAAACGUGCCAUUUUAUCCACAAAACAAAGAAAGAGAUAAUUGGAGGAAACCAUUGAUUAUAACAGUUGUCAUCAUUGGUAUAAUUGUUAUCGGGAUAAUUGCAUAUUGUUGCUGUAUCAAGGGAUCCAGAGAGUUAUGUAUUAACCAUCCCUGGUGUAGCAAAGACACAAUCUGCUGUAUAUUCUGUUAUAACCAGAACACAAGCAGACCACCAUCAUAUCAUUCUGAUAUUGGUGAAGAUAGACGGGUGUAUAAUAAUGGUUGUGCUGAACAAGUUAGAUUUCUUCGUCAAAGUUCCUGCCCUGUGACGCAAAAUGAAAAAAUGGUAGUCAAGGGCAGUCCUCCUGUAAAUCUUGAACAACAAGAUGUGAAAUUUUCUUUGAAAAGUACAGACUGUGAGCAAAAGAAGCUGAAAUUCUUUCAGAUGAAUUCAGAGAUCUGUCGUGAAAUAUGUCAAAAACUUAAGCAGAACAUUCAGACAGGCAUGGGUUAUCCAACUCUUGCUGGUUUUAUGGGGUUUUCAGCAGACAAAGUUAAGAGCUUUGAAUGUGAAGGUGAUGUGUGUGAGAAUAUGAUGAUGUGUUGGAGCAGUUUGGAUCAAACAAAUAAUAAUGUGUUAAAGUUGAAGGAUUUGGUGGUCAGAUUAAAGAGGGAUGAUAUCUUGGAAUUGCUUAAGUCUGAACUAAAAAGAAAAAGUUAUGAAUGUGGCUGUCCUGAGUGUAUGGUGAUUCUGUGACUUGGUAAGAUCAGUCAAUUAAGUCAAACUACAGUUUAUAAAACACAUUGCUUACUAGAGCUGUUAAAUAUGUAAGUAGAUCAAGUACAUUAUAUGUCUUGUAGAUGUUUCGGGCCGUUUUGGGGAUUAUAUGAUGUAACGUACCGACCCGGCGGACCCCCUAUGCUAUUGAAGUCGUAAACUGCGUCGUUACUCGAUUAUACCUCAUAUAUUGGUUUCAUUCGAAAUAAAUUUAGCGGGCCCUACUAAAAACCGCCCAGGACUGAAGAAAAACCGCCCGAAUUUUUCAAUAGUUCGCUUGAAUUUGAUUUCACAUUCCCGCUCCUUUGGGACGUUGAUGUUUUCGCCUUUGGUGUGACGUCAUAACGUAGGAUACGACUAUUUAUCACACGUUAUGACGUAGUAAUCACACGUUAUGACGUAGUAAUCACACGUUAUGACGUAGUAAUCACACGUUAUGGCGUCACACGAUUUGGACAUGACGAUUUCACACACUAAUCAUUAGCCAAUCAGAAGCUUUGACUUCUUUCAAAUGAAUAAAUAAAAAAAUUAUUAUAUGGCAAGCGUCAUUCCGGUGAAAUGGAGCUCAAUGCUUGGCUGAGAAGAAUUUUGAACGGUCCAUUACUUUCCCGUAAUGGACCAGCGUUACCGGCGAUCCAUUACGAGAUGAAAAACAGACAAAUUCUGAAUGAAAAAGGCAAAAAUAAAUGCUGAAGAGAAAAUUUAAUUGCUUUUGAAAUUAAUGAGACGUCUCCAGACAGUUUAGGUAAACUAAAUGAUUCAAUAUUCUGUUUUUGUUUUGUGCACGAAUUCACGCAUUUCUAGGUUUGUUUCAAGUGCAAAUAUAUUACUUAUUGUCUUAUAUAUUACUUAUAUAUUACUUAUAUAUUACGCCAUAUAAUAAACUUUUUUAUUAACCUUGCUUGCUCGGUUUUUACCGAGAAUAUCGGACCUCAAUCUUUUUGUACAAACCUCGCUUUUCGAUCUCGGUCUGUUCAAAAAGACCUCAGUCCGAUAUUUCUCAGUAAUACAGCUAAAUAUUUUUUACAAUAGAAAAUAUUGUUUUAAAUUUCAUUUCAGCCUGCUAAUCUGUGCUAGCUAGUCGCGAAUGUUCUUGUCUGACCAAGCAUUAUAAUCGCUUCAGGUUUCUGUCGGGCGGUUUUUUUAAAUCUCGGACGGUUUUUCUAUAUUUUUCGGGUGGUGUCGGGCGGUUUUUAGUACGACCGAGAACUAGCGAGUGAUUGUCUGCCCUGAGGCUGUGUGUUUUAUCUAUGGUUUUAUGAAAACUAAUGCAGCGAGCAAGAUUACCGACACGAUUCACACAAAUAUGUGCUGGCCGCUUCUCAAUCUCAGUGGUCUGAAAAGUGAAAACCAUUUGGUUUACCAUCCUCGUCCCCAGGGCCUUGCUCUCCACAUAGGAGAGCAACGGAGCUAGGCCCUAGGGACGAGGAUGUUGGUUUACUAAAAAAAAUGCAGUAUCCUCUAUUACUUGAAGUUGGCAUCAUGCUUAUAGCUGUAUCGAGACACCUGAGAGUGCCGAGUGCGGGGAGAUUCGUCGAAUGCCCGGGGUGAAAACAUAAUUGUAUUGGAUAAAACUUGAAUGUUUAUCAACCACUAUAUGAUUAUUUAUUCGAUGCCCGGGAUGAAGAUUUUGGAUGUUUCUUGUAAUAUAUAGCAUUGCAAAAUCUUGUAUCUUCCAUGACCCGGCGACUCCCGAGCAUUCAUGGAGAUAACACGUUUUUUGAAUGCGACAACUUAUUAUAAAGAAGUGUUUUUUUAUCGAAUGACUAGUUAUUCAUAGUGUUAGUGUAAAAAUUCAAAUUUUAUCUUAUACAAUUAUCCUUUAGUUUAUCACAUGAUUCCACUCCAGUCCCCAGGGAUUCCACUCGAACAAGUAGUGGAAAAAAUAUUAAUUUAAAAAAAAUACGUUUGAAAAUACGUUUUGGGCGCAAGUUGCAAUUUGAUGUUAUUAAAGGACCUGCAAUGCCUGAAUCAUCACUUUGUAACUUACACACAAAACAACGUUUAUCGGAUCAGAGAAAAUUAUUUUCUUUCAACCUUUCUUUAAUGUGUCGUGUUGUAUGCCAUGUAUGGCGCAACCGUGUAUUUUGUUUGGUUAAUUUACCAGGCCAAUAUUAGAUCGGUUACAACCAACACUCCACUUUUGCGUUUUUUUGCACGUGCCAACUUUUAAAACAUCCCAAGAAUCAAAGUCUAUAGUCUAUACCUCAAUGUCAGCAUGGCCGUUUAUCGGCGUGUUCGCACGUGCAAUAUUAAAACGUGAAAGUGUGGAUAUCAGCGCUAACUAAAACAGUGUUAUAAUAAUAAGUAUAUAAUGAGUACAGUAUUCAUGUGUAAUGUUUUAUUCACGCAGUUGUUCACGACGUUAUCCAUAGCAGGCUAAUGGAUAGAAUGUAUGAAUAUUGGCUUUGAGUUGUAAUCUAUGUAAUUUUACCAGUUUACUACAUCAUCAACUGUGCGUAUUUUGUAACUUUCACAGCAUUAACAGUUAUUGAUUGCAGUACGACUGUCCGUAAUUUACUUUUCGUAACGUUUACGUAAAGCUGGUCUUGUAAAGUAAUCGUGACACAAAGCCUUCAAAGACUUCAUUUGACACGUGAAUCAGUAAAAUGGUUAUACAGUUUAUGGUCAAUCUAAUAUAAAUGGGAAAAUGACUUGUUGCCGCCAUGCAAGCCGUCGCUAGAAGCUUAAUUGGGGGGGGGAGUAGUGCAUAUUCAUCUUAUGAUUUCAUCUUAUGCCCGACUGAUUUCUUUUGUUAGCUAUUGUUUCUAUGGUUGUACGAACGUGAAUAUAUGAAUAUACACCCCACAAUUAAGCUUCUAGCGACUGCCCUGGCGCCAUGCAAAAAAGGGUCAAUACAUAUAUCCAAUAGGAACGAUUUAGUCAUUUACUUUCGAUCAUUAUCAGCAACACUGUCCCAACUUGGCUGGAUUUUAGAAAUGUAAUAUAUUUAUAGAUGGUACAUUGCCAGAUUAGUUUGGUUAGGAUUUAUGUCACUUAUUGUAAAAGUAUUAAGAGUUAAGUUGCUUUAACAAUAAAUUGAUUUGUGUUUCAAAGUUU